This is a non-coding RNA of Phoenix dactylifera (date palm), 869 nucleotides long. NCBI's taxonomy places the organism in Eukaryota, Viridiplantae, Streptophyta, Magnoliopsida, Arecales, Arecaceae. The record is from RefSeq and is a predicted model, not a curated record.
CCUCCUUCCCAGGCUCAGAAAGCCUUUUAGCCCCCACAGCAUUUUCCCCACCCCUCCAACCCACCUUCUUCACCUAUUCCAUGCCCUUUCUCCCACUCCCAUCUCCUGGCAUUUCACCAACAAAACUGAGACCUCCUUCACAUAAAACUAGGAGGUAGGUGCACUAGAAUUUCCCACUAAAGCUCCCUCUCCAGUCUUUAAAACCACAAAGAAACAAAUCCUCUUCCUCUCAAGCUCCCUUCAUAGCUACAGAGAGAGAGAGAGAGAGAGAGAGAGAGAGAUGACUUCCAAACUCAGAGUUCUCUCUCACUACCUCUUUUUUCUCCUCUUCAUGAGUCAUCUCUCCAAUGGGCUAAGCUCAGGUCAUCAGGCUCUGUUGAACGAGUCGGAGGCGAUGAAGCCUGUGUUUGUGCCGGGGCAGGGGGCUUUGGUGCUGAAUGAGACCAGAAGGAGGCUCGGGAACUUCCAAAUAUGUGCUCUCUGUACCUGCUGCGGUGGCCCCAAAGGACUCUGCCUCCCUUCUCCCUGCUGCUAUGCCAUCAAUUGCAACAUACCUCAUCGACCAUUUGGCUUCUGCUCCUUUACACCCAAGGCUUGCAACUGCUUUGGAUGCCAUUACUGAUCAAGAUGUAUUCCAUCUUGUUUAUGUUUUCAGUCUCUACUUGCUUGUUCAUGAUGUUGGGAGGGGGUAAGAAACAAUGACUGCUCCCCCUCCCUAUAGUUUAUUGGAAUUGUUCUUCUGUUGGUCGCAGUGCAAGAGUAUUUUGUUAACAAUACCAUUAUUAUAAGAAGUGGACAUGUUGUAGUGGCUUGCUUGAUCAUUAUAAUUACCACCCUUCUAUGUUGGGGCCAGGGUUCUUGUGCUCAUA